GUCCAGUGCCAGCGCUGGUCCGCUGAGACGCCGCACAAGCUGCAGUGAGUCCCUGGUGCUCCCGGCCCCGCCAGGGCCCUAACCCUGGGGCGGCAUGCUUUGAUGUCUGGGACCAGAGCCUGGAAAUGGUUGAGACUACCCUGCCACGAUUUUGCUCCCGCUCCCGCCUCGGUUCACAUUUACCUCCGAACCGCAUGCACAACUGGAGGAGAACUUCUGCCAGACCCAGAUGGGGAUAGCCAUGGGCCCUGGUGCUACACGAUGGACCCAAGGACCCCAUUCGACUACUGUGCCCUGCGACGCUGCGCUGAUGACCAGCCGCCAUCAAUCCUGGACCCCCCCAGACCAGGUGCAGUUUGAGAAGUGUGGCAAGAGGGUGGAUCGGCUGGAUCAGCGUCGUUCCAAGCUGCGCGUGGCUGGGGGCCAUCCGGGCAACUCACCCUGGACAGUCAGCUUGCGGAAUCGGCAAGCUAACAAGUGAGCCUUGGGGCAACGGACUGAGAGUCACAAAUGACCUAGCAGAGCUUCUCUCCCAGCCAUAUGCCUCUCACGGGCUAUGAGGUAUGGUUGGG
This 572-nucleotide long non-coding RNA is filed under the name Homo sapiens (human). RNAcentral's name for it is "HSALNT0002318". The record is from RNAcentral. Lineage: Eukaryota; Metazoa; Chordata; Mammalia; Primates; Hominidae.